RNAcentral lists this unclassified non-coding RNA (337 nucleotides) under soil metagenome. RNAcentral describes it as "partial contains 5.8S ribosomal RNA, internal transcribed spacer 2, and large subunit ribosomal RNA". The stretch from base 3 to 120 matches the Rfam family "5.8S ribosomal RNA", at positions 37 to 154 of the family's 154-position model. The record is from RNAcentral.
GGUGAAGAACGUAGUGAAAUGCGAUAAGUAGUGUGAAUUGCAGAAUUCAGUGAAUCAUCGAAUCUUUGAACGCACAUUGCGCCCCUUGGUAUUCCAUGGGGCAUGCCUGUUCGAGCGUCAUUUGUACCCUCAAGCUUUGCUUGGUGUUGGGUGUUUGUCCCGCGUUGCGCGUGGACUCGCCUUAAAGCGAUUGGCAGCCGGCAUAUUGGCCUUGGAGCGCAGCACAUUUUGCGCUUCUAGUCAUGAAUGUUGGCGUCCAUUAAGCCUAUACAUUUGCUCUUGACCUCGGAUCAGGUAGGGAUACCCGCUGAACUUAAGCAUAUCAAUAAGCGGAGGA